GGAUGAGUUAGGAUGGUGAUAGAAACUCUAAUAGUGCUUUGAGUUAAGUGAUAGAGGAUUUAGAGUUUGGAGUUGGAGGUUUUAGGAUUAAAAGAGCAUGCAGGUACAGUAACUACUUCGUUUGCCGAAACCUCCUCUUCCGACUACCCAAGUCCUUUUUUUACCGAAGGUAUAAAAAGGUGCUAGGACGGACAAAAAUGUAUGAAAAUACAUUUUCUUCCUCUGUUUUGGUAACUAUGAGACCCAAAAUUCUUGUUUCUCUUCUUCUUUUACCUUUAAAGUGAAUUUGUGAUCAAUUGAAUUUCUUUUUUUU
Molecule: unclassified non-coding RNA, 313 nt
Filed under: Hevea brasiliensis (rubber tree)
Lineage: Eukaryota; Viridiplantae; Streptophyta; Magnoliopsida; Malpighiales; Euphorbiaceae
Source: RNAcentral